UACGAAGGGGGCUAGCGUUGUUCGGAAUUACUGGGCGUAAAGCGCACGUAGGCGGCUUUGUAAGUUAGAGGUGAAAGCCCGGGGCUCAACUCCGGAAUUGCCUUUAAGACUGCAUCGCUUGAAUCCAGGAGAGGUGAGUGGAAUUCCGAGUGUAGAGGUGAAAUUCGUAGAUAUUCGGAAGAACACCAGUGGCGAAGGCGGCUCACUGGACUGGUAUUGACGCUGAGGUGCGAAAGCGUGGGGAGCAAACAGG
RNAcentral lists this ribosomal RNA (253 nucleotides) under uncultured bacterium. RNAcentral describes it as "partial 16S ribosomal RNA". It matches the Rfam family "Bacterial small subunit ribosomal RNA", at positions 524 to 776 of the family's 1533-position model. The record is from RNAcentral.